ACAUAAGAAGAAGCAGAAAUAGAAAAAAGUAGUUCCUUCAUUCUCAUGGCACACACUAACAGUACAAGAUGGCCAAUGGUGGUGCGCUCCAUGGCUAUUGCUUUCCUGGUGCUGGCCAUGAUGUUUUUUACCUUCCCAUCCUGCCAUGCGCGCACUCCUGCAUCUACAAAAUAUUUAUAUCAUGGAUUUUGCAAGACUCUCAAUCCCUGCAAUAAGGACAGCUGCUAUGAUCUGUGUACAAGUAAAAGACAAAACUACGCAUAUUCCUAUUGCAAGGACGAUGUUAAGAUUCCAACGUGUUGCUGCACAUACACUGAUGGUUCUCCUGCUUGAGUCAUACAAUGUUGAAUACAUUUAUAUUUGAUUUCAAUAAAGAUGUUUUUAAUCAA
This is a long non-coding RNA of Triticum dicoccoides, 389 nucleotides long. RefSeq lists it as uncharacterized. Lineage: Eukaryota; Viridiplantae; Streptophyta; Magnoliopsida; Poales; Poaceae. The record is from RefSeq and is a predicted model, not a curated record. The transcript is spliced from 2 exons.